Molecule: transfer RNA, 65 nt
Filed under: Leptocerus tineiformis
Lineage: Eukaryota; Metazoa; Arthropoda; Insecta; Trichoptera; Leptoceridae
Description: tRNA-Tyr
Source: RNAcentral
AGUAAAAUGUCCGAUAAUAGGUGAUAAAUUGUAAAUUUAUUUAUAAGAAUUUUUCUUUUUUACUA